This 426-nucleotide ribosomal RNA is filed under the name uncultured bacterium. Its description in RNAcentral is "partial 16S ribosomal RNA". It matches the Rfam family "Bacterial small subunit ribosomal RNA", at positions 354 to 796 of the family's 1533-position model. The record is from RNAcentral.
GUGAGGAAUUUUCCGCAAUGGGCGAAAGCCUGACGGAGCAAUGCCGCGUGAAGGAUGAAGGCCUAUGGGUUGUAAACUUCUUUUCUCAGAAAAGAAUUAUGACGGUAUCUGAGGAAUAAGCAUCGGCUAACUCUGUGCCAGCAGCCGCGGUAAGACAGAGGAUGCAAGCGUUAUCCGGAAUGAUUGGGCGUAAAGCGUCUGUAGGUUGUUUAAAAAGUAUUCUGUCAAAGAUUAGGGCUUAACCCUAGAUAGGCAGAAUAAACUUUUAAGCUAGAGUUUGGUAGAGGCAGAGGGAAUUCCCGGUGGAGCGGUGAAAUGCGUAGAUAUCGGGAGGAACAACAAAGGCGAAGGCACUCUGCUGGGCCAAUACUAACACUGAGAGACGAAAGCGAGGGGAGCAAAUGGGAUUAGAAACCCGAGUAGUCC